Molecule: long non-coding RNA, 1314 nt
Organism: Canis lupus familiaris (dog)
Lineage: Eukaryota; Metazoa; Chordata; Mammalia; Carnivora; Canidae
Exons: 3
Source: RefSeq, a predicted model, not a curated record
CUGUAUGCUGCUGUUCAUUAAACUAAGAUGAACAUGAUAUGCACCUACCUCUUUUACAGACAAAUCUGUGAUUAUUGAUAUAAUUCUACUGUCAUACUGUGACCUUCUACUAAUCAACAGCUCCCUGACCCCUGACCCUACCUAAUCAUCUUCAGUGUCUGCAAAGCAUGCUGGACCCCAAGGUGACAAGAUGGAAGAAGCCAAUGACUGGUCAUUGCAGAAGAAAGAAUGAGAGCCCCAGGCUGAGGAAGAGCCAAUGGGAUGAUGGAGCCAACUGUGAACUAAGGCAGCUGCCAGGGGUUCUGUGAUGAGCAAAUGGAUUCUUUUUUUAUGUAGCCUUUAUUCACAUUUUUAUGUUUGAUUUUGUCCUUUGAUUAUAAUGACAGGUUGUGGUUACAUAUUAUUAGAGAUGAAUACUAAAGAAGUGACUAAAUAAAAGGGCAAGAAAUUGAGGAUGAUUGGUGUCAUCCCAGCAGGGAAGGAAGGCAGACAACAAUAUCUUUUUAUUCUCAGUCUCAAAUGCUACAUGUACCUGACCCGGAAUAAGCUUAGAAUAUUUGCUUUAUUCCGUGGUGCUUUUGUGCUGCUGUCCAAUGAACAGAGGCUAUGGCUGGUGGAGGGCAAUUCCAUCUCUGCAAACCUGAGGCUAUUGAACAUAUUUAUCUAUAAUGACAUAUAUAUUUUAUGGGUAUAUGCUGUGGCACUUAUUCCUCCAUUUCUGAAGUUCUUCUCUCAAACCCUUUAUUCCUCCUUUCCACAAUUCAGCCACAAUCAAAUCCCUUCUAAGGAGAGAAAAUGAAUCACUUUUUCUGUCUUGGGAAUACUGUAUGUAUCAAAGCUGAUUUGGGGGGCGGGACCUGAAAUUUUAGAAAUCUUAGGGAAUUGGGUAUUAGAGUCUAAACCUUAUAGCUACAUCACCUUGGUCUUGGUAAUUGAUUUGCUCUCAAAUUUCAGGUACCUUCUUUUCUUUGAGAUAUUUAGAUUUUUGCAUAUACCAAGGGGAAACUCUUGUCAAUGGACACCAGGAGUCACAUACAGGAAUGUUCACAGCAGUGAUGUUUAUGAUAACAACAUUAGAUUGAGACCAAUCUAAAAGUCCUUUGAAAGGAGAAUGAUGAAACUGAGACAAAUGGAUACAAUUGAGUACUACACAACAGUGACAGUGAAAACUAUCGCCAUUUGCAUUUAUCUUGGACAUAUGUCCAACAUUUUUCAUGUAUGAACUCAUACGUACCUCUGUGGACGUAUCAAUUCAUAUGACGAUUUUAGAAAAUAGUUUAUUAUUAUCUGAUACUGUUGGAAAUAUAAUAAACA